Molecule: long non-coding RNA, 1837 nt
Organism: Trachemys scripta elegans
Lineage: Eukaryota; Metazoa; Chordata; Testudines; Emydidae
Exons: 5
Source: RefSeq, a predicted model, not a curated record
CUCCGCAAAGAGCCAGCACAGUGAGAAGGCAGCAGCAGACAGAGCUGGGGGCAGAUACAGAGAGGGUACUGUGGAAGGAGCUCAGACCAUGCUUCCUCGCUGGUGGCACCCCAUAGCUCUGGUAGCGUAGCCAGGAGGCAGCAUUAGCAGAAAACGAGUGUGAGUGGGAGGUGCAGCACAGCUGAGCUCAUGUCUAUCUCCCGGCUCCCUAAAGCCCCGCCAGCGCAGGGCAGAGGGGGCAGCAAGCUGAAGGGGGAGAAUGGAGAUCCUUAAGACAGCUUAGCCCGGGCCUCGCUUCUGUGGGUUCUUACCGGGCCGAGGCGGGGUCAGCUCAGCCCGGGCCCGGUUCUCCGGGCCGGGGGCGGGUGCACGGGCAGCUCAGCCCGCGCCCAGCCAUACUACCCCCGGCGCGGGGGCAAGGUCCCCACCUUACCCCUACGGUUCGCCCACUCCUGCUGCCGCAGCGCCCGGUCAGGUGAGUCUGCUCAGCUGAUUGGGCAGGGGCAGGAAGGCGAGGUUACCCUGAGCACGUGAUCAGCAGCGAGGGACUGCCAUGAUGGGAAGGGCGAAGAAAAGGAGGGUAGUCAGCUGCUGUCGCCAUCUUAGGGAGGUCGCUCGCGCGUAAAGCCGAAGGGAGCAGAUAGGACUAGAAUAGGGACAAGCUACCUUUGCCUUUACAAAUGCAAUCCUGUUACCAGGAUCUGGAAUGGUCCCCUGCCCUCAUCUCAACGCCCUUUGCAAGCAGCCCCUGGUGAGAAUUUUAGGUCCUUAGGAAAAAUAUCACACCUUUUGAAAAUCAUGGCCACAGGUGGUGUCUGGAACUUGGGCAAGGCAAGUUAUUUUUCAAUAUUAUUUUUAACCUGACUGUGUCCCUUUAAUAGUGACUUUACCUGAGGUCACACAGUGAGUCAGUGAUAAUCUAAAAUAGAAUCCAGUUCUGACUCUCCGUUCUAACUGCUAGUUACCUGCUUCUUCCUCUCCAGUGAUCAUGAUGAUGACAGCAAAAAGGUUCACUUUUACAAUGUUUUCAAUCUUCCCAUUGACUUCAAUGGGAGUUGGAUCAGGCCCCAAAUGUUUCAAACAGAUAAAUUACAAGCUGGGGACAUCAUCCAUAUUUCCCUUCAGUUUAAGCAAGUGUCUCAAAUAGUCCACCUGCUAGCUCCUUCGUUUUGCUUAUGUUCUUCUUGCCCCUUAAUUGAUGGUCCCCUGCAUGAGAUGGUUCUUCCUUCUCAAGAAUUCUUUAAUAUGUAAUUUUUGCUUGUCCACUUGCCUGUUGGUUCACACUCCAGCAACACUGCAUAGAAAGACAAGUUCCUUAUCAAGUUUUGUAUUUGGGCAGGGCACUGAUGCAAUCUGCUGUCUGGUGAAUCACAUUGCACACAGAUAAAUGAUAAGGAAUUGAAUUACGUGUGUGUAACAUCUCAGGCUGGCCAGCAAUCUAAUAUAGUGCCACAUUGACUUUAUUUGAGAGGAUCAGAACUGCCAACUGUUAUUGGAAGUUUCUGAAAGACCUGAGAUUAAUGCAUCAGAGGAGGCCAAUGAGAGACAAGGAUGCUAGCGUGAGAAUGGAUCAAAAGUAUGGGGAAGGCUCAUCUCCAAAAGGAACCCCAGUCAUGGACCAGAAACCUGUUGUGAGAGGUGGUGUGAAAACACAGCAAAGCCAGUCCCUGCUCCAAAGAGCUGACAGUCUUGGAUUUGGAACAUCAAUACCAAAACCAGUUUGACCAAGAAAGAAGACACAUUCAAAAAUUUUAAGGACUUAACAUCUUUAAUCCCGUCCCUUGCUAAUGCUGGGCUGCCCGGGCCGAGGGAAGCACGAAGCUGCCGGGGAGAGGGG